GGGGUGCUCGAGUGGCGAACGGGUGAGUAACACGUGAGUAACCUGCCCUUGACUUUGGGAUAACUUCAGGAAACUGGGGCUAGUACCGGAUAGGAGCUCCUGCUGCAUGGUGGGGGUUGGAAAGUUUCGGCGGUUGGGGAUGGACUCGCGGCUUAUCAGCUUGUUGGUGGGGUAGUGGCUUACCAAGGCUUUGACGGGUAGCCGGCCUGAGAGGGUGACCGGCCACAUUGGGACUGAGAUACGGCCCAG
This 249-nucleotide ribosomal RNA is filed under the name uncultured Actinomycetales bacterium. RNAcentral describes it as "partial 16S ribosomal RNA". It matches the Rfam family "Bacterial small subunit ribosomal RNA", at positions 84 to 334 of the family's 1533-position model. Lineage: Bacteria; Bacillati; Actinomycetota; Actinomycetes; Actinomycetales. The record is from RNAcentral.